RNAcentral lists this long non-coding RNA (1145 nucleotides) under Piliocolobus tephrosceles (Ugandan red Colobus). RNAcentral describes it as "lncRNA (ENSPTEG00000005561.1)". Lineage: Eukaryota; Metazoa; Chordata; Mammalia; Primates; Cercopithecidae. The record is from RNAcentral.
AUAAAAAAUAAAUAAAAAAUAAAAAAAUAAAUAAAAAAUAAAUAAAAAAAAAUAAACAGACGAACGAACAAAUUACACCUGUUUGCUAUAUAUUUUUUUUUCAAUUUAUUUUAUAUGUUUUUAAACUUUUGGCAGGACGAUAAUGGAAGAUUUAAAAACGCAAAGAUUUGUCUUUUAGGAUAUUCUUUAGGAAGUGUUAUGGCUUAUGAAAUUCUACAUAAUAUAAAAGUUCGUAUUAGUGAUAGUAAUAUAAAAUAUAAAUUGAAAAACAAAAUAGAUUAUCUUUUUACGCUUGGUAGUCCAUUAAGUGCAUUAUUAUCAUUAUAUAAACCGGAAUAUAUAAAUAAUGGUUUAAAAUUAAUUGAAAAUAUAAAAUUUUAUAACAUUUUUCAUGGAUUCGAUCCGGUAGCAUUUAGAAUAGAACCUUUAAUUUAUCCUAAAAUAAAAAAUAUACCAGAACCUGUUUUAAUAAAUUAUUGGAGAAAUAAUGGAGUAAGAUAUUGGUUUGAAUGGGAUAAGAAUAUGCAGAAUGCUAAGCUAGCUAUCGUUCAAAAUUUGAAUGAUAUAACAUCGGCUAUAAGCAAUGGCAUAAGUAAAUUUUGGAGCCGACCUAAACCAAGUAAUGAAGAUCAAGGUACAUUAAAUAAAAAUAUAUGUUAUAAUAAAAGUGCGAGUAAAGAUAUAAACAAUUUUUUAAUGAAAGUAAAAGAAAAUCAACGAAAAAUGGCUUUACAAAAAAGAAAAAUGGAAAAAAAUCGAAAAAAAAAAAAAAAAAAAAAAAAAAAAAAAAAAAAAUUACCUUGUAGUAUCAAAAAAAAAAAAAAAAAAAAAAAAUUUAAAGAAAUGUUGUGCUUUUUUAUUUUUUUUUAAGUAAAGGAAAGGUGUUAUAAGAAACGACAGAGGUAGUAUAAACGCAAGCGUAUAUACAUAUAUAUGUACAUAAAUACAUAUAAAUACAUGACACAAAAAAAAAGUGUUAAUUUAUUGAGUUACUAAAAAUUAUACAAUUUUAGUAAUAAGCCAGAGUUUAUUGUCACUACAUUUUUUGUGUUUUCCUCAACCACAUAUUACUUUAUACAUUUUUAUCAUUGAUUUUUAUCAUUGAUUUUUAUUAUUGAUUUUUUUUUUUUUUUUUGCUAAUAUAU